GAAGGGACCUAGCGUAGUUCGGAAUUACUGGGCUUAAAGAGUUCGUAGGUGGUUGAAAAAGUUAGUGGUGAAAUCCCAGAGCUUAACUCUGGAACUGCCAUUAAAACUUUUCAGCUAGAGUAUGAUAGAGGAAAGCAGAAUUUCUAGUGUAGAGGUGAAAUUCGUAGAUAUUAGAAAGAAUACCAAUUGCGAAGGCAGCUUUCUGGAUCAUUACUGACACUGAGGAACGAAAGCAUGGGUAGCGAAGAGGAUUAGAUACCCUCGUAGUCCAUGCCGUAAACGAUGUGUGUUAGACGUUGGAAAUUUAUUUUCAGUGUCGCAGCGAAAGCGAUAAACACACCGCCUGGGGAGUACGACCGCAAGGUUAAAACUCAAAUGAAUUGACGGGGACCCGCACAAGUAGUGGAGCAUGUGGUUUAAUUCGAAGAUACGCGCAGAACCUUACCAACACUUGACAUGUUCGUCGCGACUCUAAGAGAUUAGAGUUUUCGGUUCGGCCGGACGAAACACAGGUGCUGCAUGGCUGUCGUCAGCUCGUGUCGUGAGAUGUUGGGUUAAGUCCCGCAACGAGCGCAACCCUCACUUUUAGUUGCCAUCAUUUAGUUGGGCACUCUGAAAGAACUGCCAGUGAUAAGCUGGAGGAAGGUGGGGAUGACGUCAAGUCCUCAUGGCCCUUACGUGUUGGGCUACACACGUGCUACAAUGGUAUCUACAACAGGAAGCAAGACCGCGAGGUUUAGCAAAUCCUUAAAAGAUACCUCAGUUCGGAUUGCACUCUGCAACUCGAGUGCAUGAAGCUGGAAUUACUAGUAAUCGUGGAUCAGCGUGCCACGGUGAAUGCGUUCCC
Molecule: ribosomal RNA, 847 nt
Filed under: uncultured Alphaproteobacteria bacterium
Lineage: Bacteria; Pseudomonadati; Pseudomonadota; Alphaproteobacteria
Description: bacterial SSU rRNA
Rfam family: Bacterial small subunit ribosomal RNA
Source: RNAcentral